This 460-nucleotide ribosomal RNA is filed under the name uncultured bacterium. RNAcentral's name for it is "partial 16S ribosomal RNA". It matches the Rfam family "Bacterial small subunit ribosomal RNA", at positions 338 to 795 of the family's 1533-position model. The record is from RNAcentral.
CCUACGGGAGGCAGCAGUGAGGAAUAUUGGUCAAUGGGCUUACGCCUGAACCAGCCAAGUCGCGUGAGGGAUGACUGCCCUAUGGGUUGUAAACCUCUUUUGUCAGGGAGCAAUUGGCGCUACGUGUAGCGUUAUCGAGAGUACCUGAAGAAAAAGCAUCGGCUAACUUCGUGCCAGCAGCCGCGGUAAUACGGGGGAUGCGAGCGUUAUCCGGAUUUUUUGGGUUUAAAGGGUGCGUAGGCGGAAUGCCAAGUCAGCGGUAAAAUCGCGGGGCUCAACCUCGCUCCGCCGUUGAAACUGGCGUUCUUGAGUGGGCGAGAAGUAUGCGGAAUGCGUGGUGGAGCGGUGAAAUGCAUAGAUAUCACGCAGAACUCCGAUUGCGAAGGCAGCAUACCGGCGCCCAACUGACGCUGAAGCACGAAAGCGUGGGUAGCGAACAGGAUUAGAUACCCGGGUAGUC